This 589-nucleotide ribosomal RNA is filed under the name uncultured bacterium. RNAcentral's name for it is "bacterial SSU rRNA". It matches the Rfam family "Bacterial small subunit ribosomal RNA", at positions 338 to 944 of the family's 1533-position model. The record is from RNAcentral.
CCUACGGGAGGCAGCAGUGGGGAAUAUUGGACAAUGGGCGAAAGCCUGAUCCAGCAAUGCCGCGUGAGUGAUGAAGGCCUUCGGGUCGUAAAGCUCUUUUACCAGGGAUGAUAAUGACAGUACCUGGAGAAUAAGCUCCGGCUAACUCCGUGCCAGCAGCCGCGGUAAUACGGAGGGAGCUAGCGUUGUUCGGAAUUACUGGGCGUAAAGAGUACGUAGGCGGUUAUUCAAGUCAGAGGUGAAAGCCCGGGGCUCAACCCCGGAACUGCCUUUGAAACUAGAUAGCUAGAGUCUUGGAGAGGUUAGUGGAAUUCCGAGUGUAGAGGUGAAAUUCGUAGAUAUUCGGAAGAACACCAGUGGCGAAGGCGACUAACUGGACAAGUACUGACGCUGAGGUACGAAAGCGUGGGGAGCAAACAGGAUUAGAUACCCUGGUAGUCCACGCCGUAAACGAUGAUAACUAGUUGUUCGGUCACUUGGUGACUGAGUGACGCAGCUAACGCAUUAAGUUAUCCGCCUGGGGAGUACGGUCGCAAGAUUAAAACUCAAAUGAAUUGACGGCUGNGAGNGCGAGCGACGACGAGGAGAG